RNAcentral lists this ribosomal RNA (497 nucleotides) under uncultured bacterium. RNAcentral's name for it is "partial 16S ribosomal RNA". It matches the Rfam family "Bacterial small subunit ribosomal RNA", at positions 28 to 507 of the family's 1533-position model. The record is from RNAcentral.
GAUGAACGCUGGCGGCGUGCCUAAUACAUGCAAGUCGAGCGAACAGAUGAGGAGCUUGCUCCUCUGACGUUAGCGGCGGACGGGUGAGUAACACGUGGAUAACCUACCUAUAAGACUGGGAUAACUUCGGGAAACCGGAGCUAAUACCGGAUAAUAUAUUGAACCGCAUGGUUCAAUAGUGAAAGACGGUUUUGCUGUCACUUAUAGCUGGAUCCGCGCCGCAUUAGCUAGUUGGUAAGGUAACGGCUUACCAAGGCAACGAUGCGUAGCCGACCUGAGGGGGGGAUCGGCCACACUGGAACUGAGACACGGUCCAUACUCCUACGGGAGGCAGCAGUAGGGAAUCUUCCGCAAUGGGCGAAAGCCUGACGGAGCAACGCCGCGUGAGUGAUGAAGGUCUUCGGAUCGUAAAACUCUGUUAUUAGGGAAGAACAAAUGUGUAAGUAACUAUGCACGUCUUGACGGUACCUAAUCAGAAAGCCACGGCUAACUACGUG